AACUAGCCCCGAUAGUAGUGUAAAUCCUUUUGUGCCGGGGUUCGGCACAAAAGAUUGGAACGGAUAGCGGGACUAAUG
RNAcentral lists this small RNA (78 nucleotides) under Flavobacterium saccharophilum. Its description in RNAcentral is "Flavo-1 RNA". It matches the Rfam family "Flavo-1 RNA". Lineage: Bacteria; Pseudomonadati; Bacteroidota; Flavobacteriia; Flavobacteriales; Flavobacteriaceae. The record is from RNAcentral.